Long non-coding RNA from Mus musculus (house mouse), 575 nucleotides. RefSeq annotates it as predicted gene, 33515. The record is from RefSeq and is a predicted model, not a curated record. The transcript has 3 exons. NCBI's taxonomy places the organism in Eukaryota, Metazoa, Chordata, Mammalia, Rodentia, Muridae.
GAUAGUGGAAUAAGCAGUAAACCUUCAGAAGGCCCUAUUUGAGCUGUGCCCUCUCAGACAAUCUCCUGCUAUUAAGGAUUGAGCAUGCAGCUUGUCAUUCAGCAGGCAGGGAGAAGCUUCGAUGUUCAAGUUCCCAUUUUACAGUGCUUGGGGAGGCUCAAGCAAGAUAACACUGGAUCAACUAUGGAGUGCUGUAUACAAGCCUGGUCUCAAUUCUCCAGGAUCUCCUACCAGCAGACAUUUCUCCCUUACUUCUUCCCAGCUUAUGUAGUGCUCCCAGACUUCAGUUUUCUGCUCAUUUUAUUGUUUUUGUAUUCAGAUUGGUGGGGCUGGCACUGUCUGAAGCUUGGCUUCUUGGAGGGUGCAUCGUGUGAUCUGGGACUACAUUGAAGGCUAGUUUGUGUAAUAAACAUAAAAACAAAAAUUAGGCAUCUUGGGGUCUGUGUGGAGAGAUGGUUUUGUUUUCAGCAACCACAUGACAGCUCACAGCUGCUGUAACUCCAGUUUCAGGGGAUCUGACACCCUCAUCUGGUUUCUGUAGGCAUUACACAUAUAUGGUGUGGGAGAUACAUAGA